AUCAAGGGUGUAGUACUAUUUGUAGUAGCGGUCCUUAUAUAUCGUAUUAACAAUCGAAAGAUGGUCGAAAGAAA
Molecule: transfer RNA, 74 nt
Filed under: Prunus dulcis (almond)
Lineage: Eukaryota; Viridiplantae; Streptophyta; Magnoliopsida; Rosales; Rosaceae
Description: tRNA-Ile
Source: RNAcentral